AGAUUGAACGCUGGCGGCAGGCCUAACACAUGCAAGUCGAGCGGCAGCACGGGUACUUGUACCUGGUGGCGAGCGGCGGACGGGUGAGUAAUGCCCAGGAAUCUGCCUGGUAGUGGGGGAUAACGCUCGGAAACGGACGCUAAUACCGCAUACGUCCUACGGGAGAAAGCAGGGGACCUUCGGGCCUUGCGCUAUCAGAUGAGCCUAGGUCGGAUUAGCUAGUUGGUGAGGUAAUGGCUCACCAAGGCGACGAUCCGUAACUGGUCUGAGAGGAUGAUCAGUCACACUGGAACUGAGACACGGUCCAGACUCCUACGGAGCAGCAGUGGGAAUAUGGACAAGUGGCGAAAGCCUGAUCCAGCCAUGCCGCGUGUGUGAAG
RNAcentral lists this ribosomal RNA (380 nucleotides) under uncultured soil bacterium. RNAcentral's name for it is "bacterial SSU rRNA". It matches the Rfam family "Bacterial small subunit ribosomal RNA", at positions 26 to 410 of the family's 1533-position model. The record is from RNAcentral.